UAGUAACGGCGAGUGAAGCGGGAAGAGCUCAAGCUUAAAAUCUCCGUGCAGGUUCUGCUCGGCGAAUUGUAGUCUAUGGAUGCGUUAUCAGUGUGGCCGGUCGGGGUAAGUUCCUUGGAAGAGGACAGCAUCGAGGGUGAUACUCCCGUUUGUACCUGACUGUGUUGCGCGUACGAUGCGUGUUCUUUGAGUCGCGUUGUUUGGGAAUGCAGCGCAAAGUAGGUGGUAAAUUCCAUCUAAAGCUAAAUAUUGGUGCGAGACCGAUAGCGAACAAGUACCGUGAGGGAAAGAUGAAAAGAACUUUGAAAAGAGAGUUAAAGAGUACCUGAAACUGCUGAAAGGGAACCGGGUCGUUGCCAGUGUCUAUAAUCCUUGGCAUAUUUCAUUGGUGCGAGUGUCUGUUCCGCGUGCGUGUAUCAGUUUGUUCUGUGCUGCGCGUGGUUGUGGGUGCUUGUGCCGGUGCCCUGUGCUUUGGUGGGACGUCAGAGUCAGUUCGUAUGCUGCGGGAAAUGGUCGUGCAGGAGGUAGGUCGGGGGCUUGCUCUCGGCUGUUAUAUCUGUGCGUGCCAGUAGUCGUGGCUGGGACUGAGGUGCCUACAACGUGCUUUUGAGUCUUUGGGUCGCUCUGUGCGCGCGCGUGCGGGAUAGCUUGCUAUGCCGUGUGCGUUUUGCGUGUGGAUGGCGUGCUCUCUGCAACUUGUUGCCGUUC
RNAcentral lists this ribosomal RNA (708 nucleotides) under Phytopythium chamaehyphon. RNAcentral describes it as "eukaryotic LSU rRNA". It matches the Rfam family "Eukaryotic large subunit ribosomal RNA", at positions 81 to 618 of the family's 3401-position model. The record is from RNAcentral. Lineage: Eukaryota; Oomycota; Peronosporomycetes; Pythiales; Pythiaceae.